This 1484-nucleotide long non-coding RNA is filed under the name Homo sapiens (human). RNAcentral describes it as "HSALNT0319934". The record is from RNAcentral. Lineage: Eukaryota; Metazoa; Chordata; Mammalia; Primates; Hominidae.
GGUACAGCAGCCUUAGAAAGUCAAUAUAGAUACUACAUCCUAUUGUCACCACCAUUGAAAUACAUUUGGAAUCUUAAGAUCAAGGAGGAGAUUGUGGUUAUAAAUGUCUGAUGGCAUCUCUACAUCUCAGGUGAAGCAUGGAGGAUUUCACAGAUGAAGUGAGUGAUACCUGAAUAGCUAUUGGAGAAUAUGUAAAAGAACAAGUGAAACUAGGUAGCUUAUAAUGAACAGAAAUUUAUUUAGCAAGAGCGUGGCACCUGCAUCUGAUGAGAGUCAUCCCAUGGCAGAAGAGUAGAAGGCAGAAAAAGCAGUCUGAGGAAACUGGCCAAUAAGGAAGCUUACACUCAAACAACAACUUCAGACUCAGUGAGAAACAGAGCAUGAAUCUGAAGAAGUCAUACAAACGUGAGAAAGAAGUUGAGAAAGAGAUUUUCCUGCGUAAGAAAAUGCUGUGUUUGAAAAGUCUGUUGAAAGUUUUUUUAGAUCUUUCCUGAUUACGAAUCCAGUCUGCUAAUGUGAAGAAGCCUGGACAAAUUUAGAGAACUGCCCCACUGAAACUAACUGUGGUGAUCAUCAAGAAAUGAAGAUUGAACCUCAAAAAGAUACUACAGAAUUCAUCUUUGUGAAUUUGGGGCUCUAGUGGAUAAUUAAUGGUUCCUGAUUGAGAUUAAUUCAAGGACAAUUGAAUGAAUAUCGCAGACCUCUUGACUCACUUAAGAGUUCAUAAACAAAUACGCAAAUUGGAGAGCGGUAGCAUUUUGAUAAAUAUUAUCCAGCUUUUUUAUAAGAUGUUAAGAGUCUCCAGAAAUAAAAAGCAGCAACAACAACAUUAUUAAGAGUCAGAUACUAUUAGGACCACUAUGAUCUAUUCAUUGGCUGUCAUACCUCCAUAACAGUUUAAAUUACAAACAAAACCAGAAAACAACUGUUAGCUAGCCUGACAGUUAUUUAAUUACUAUUGGCAUUGACAACUUAGAUUAAUUUAUUUUCAAUAGGUAGAUCUUUAACAUUCUUCAUCAUAGUAGGAUUUUGCAGAAUUUUAUCCCAACUCAGAUAAUUUUCUUUUUCUAAUUUCCUAUCAUUGAGAAAGAUGAAAAUAAGAAUACAAAUGCUAUAUAUUUGUGUGUUCAAUUUGAUCAAGCACUGAUUUUGGGGGAUAGUUUAUUUUAGUUUGAGACGUUUUUAGCCUUAUUUGGCAGAUAUGCACAUCGAUUGAAUAGACCCAUCUGUUGUCCCAGCAAUUAGUUGGCUUGCAUCUAGAUAAAUCAGGCAUGUAUCCAAUGUGAGAGGAAUCUUCUGUGGGAGGCCUUGAUUAUGAAAUUAAGAUGUGGCUUCCAAGAGAAAUGCCAACUGAAUGUAAGCCAUGAGCCUGUGCAUUCAUUCAUGGCAUUUUGGGAAUUUUCUGAGACAUACACCGUUUACUCAAAAUAUUAAUUGAAAAAAGUUCAUUUGUCAGAAUAAAAUUGGCUUCAGAUUUGCUUUGA